CCGUUGCCGGCGACCGGCGCACGGGUGAGUAACACGUAUGCAACCUGCCCGUGGCAGGGGGAUAAGCGGGGGAAACCCCGUCUAAUACCGCGUAACGCGGCCUAGGGACAUCCCAAGGCCGCCAAAGGGAGCAAUCCCGGCCACGGAUGGGCAUGCGACGCAUUAGCUAGUCGGCGGGGUAACGGCCCACCGAGGCGACGAUGCGUAGGGGUUCUGAGAGGAAGGCCCCCCACACUGGUACUGAGACACGGACCAGACUCCUACGGGAGGCAGCAG
This 276-nucleotide ribosomal RNA is filed under the name uncultured bacterium. RNAcentral's name for it is "partial 16S ribosomal RNA". It matches the Rfam family "Bacterial small subunit ribosomal RNA", at positions 82 to 354 of the family's 1533-position model. The record is from RNAcentral.